CUUGUACACACCGCCCGUCACACCAUGGGAGUGGGUUUUACCAGAAGUGCUAGUCUAACCGCAAGGAGGACGGUCACCACGGUAGGAUUCAUGACUGGGGUG
Molecule: ribosomal RNA, 102 nt
Filed under: uncultured bacterium
Lineage: Bacteria
Description: partial 16S ribosomal RNA
Rfam family: Bacterial small subunit ribosomal RNA
Source: RNAcentral